GGCGGCGUGCCUAAUACAUGCAAGUCGUACGAGUUCUCGUUGAUGAUCGGUGCUUGCACCGAGAUUCAACAUGGAACGAGUGGCGGACGGGUGAGUAACACGUGGGUAACCUGCCCUUAAGUGGGGGAUAACAUUUGGAAACAGAUGCUAAUACCGCAUAGAUCCAAGAACCGCAUGGUUCUUGGCUGAAAGAUGGCGUAAGCUAUCGCUUUUGGAUGGACCCGCGGCGUAUUAGCUAGUUGGUGAGGUAAUGGCUCACCAAGGCGAUGAUACGUAGCCGAACUGAGAGGUUGAUCGGCCACAUUGGGACUGAGACACGGCCCAAACUCCUACGGGAGGCAGCAGUAGGGAAUCUUCCACAAUGGACGCAAGUCUGAUGGAGCAACGCCGCGUGAGUGAAGAAGGCUUUCGGGUCGUAAAACUCUGUUGUUGGAGAAGAAUGGUCGGCAGAGUAACUGUUGUCGGCGUGACGGUAUCCAACCAGAAAGCCACGGCUAACUACGUGCCAGCAGCCGCGGUAAUACGUAGGUGGCAAGCGUUAUCCGGAUUUAUUGGGCGUAAAGCGAGCGCAGGCGGUUUUUUAAGUCUGAUGUGAAAGCCCUCGGCUUAACCGAGGUAGCGCAUCGGAAACUGGGGAAACUUGAGUGCAGAAGAGGACAGUGGAAC
This 666-nucleotide ribosomal RNA is filed under the name Lacticaseibacillus paracasei. RNAcentral describes it as "bacterial SSU rRNA". It matches the Rfam family "Bacterial small subunit ribosomal RNA", at positions 38 to 667 of the family's 1533-position model. Lineage: Bacteria; Bacillati; Bacillota; Bacilli; Lactobacillales; Lactobacillaceae. The record is from RNAcentral.